This 253-nucleotide ribosomal RNA is filed under the name uncultured Prevotella sp. Its description in RNAcentral is "partial 16S ribosomal RNA". It matches the Rfam family "Bacterial small subunit ribosomal RNA", at positions 524 to 776 of the family's 1533-position model. The record is from RNAcentral. Lineage: Bacteria; Pseudomonadati; Bacteroidota; Bacteroidia; Bacteroidales; Prevotellaceae.
UACGGAGGAUCCGAGCGUUAUCCGGAUUUAUUGGGUUUAAAGGGAGCGUAGGCCGGCUUUUAAGUCAGCUGUGAAAGUCCGCGGCUCAACCGUGGAAUUGCAGUUGAAACUGGAGACCUUGAGUGCGCGGAAGGCAGGCGGAAUUCGUGGUGUAGCGGUGAAAUGCUUAGAUAUCACGAAGAACCCCGAUUGCGAAGGCAGCCUGCCGCAGCGUUACUGACGCUGAAGCUCGAAAGCGCGGGUAUCGAACAGG